UAAUCCAAUUUUAGUGGUGUCAUAAGGUGAC
Molecule: non-coding RNA, 31 nt
Filed under: Rattus norvegicus (Norway rat)
Lineage: Eukaryota; Metazoa; Chordata; Mammalia; Rodentia; Muridae
Source: RNAcentral